RNAcentral lists this transfer RNA (71 nucleotides) under Fukomys damarensis (Damara mole-rat). It matches the Rfam family "tRNA". Rfam says of the family: Transfer RNA (tRNA) molecules are approximately 80 nucleotides in length. Their secondary structure includes four short double-helical elements and three loops (D, anti-codon, and T loops). The record is from Rfam by way of RNAcentral. Lineage: Eukaryota; Metazoa; Chordata; Mammalia; Rodentia; Bathyergidae.
GGGCAUGCAGCUCAGUGGUAGAGCGCUUGUCUGGCGUGCAUGAAGUCCUGGGUUCCAUUCCCAGCACCCCA